This 182-nucleotide non-coding RNA is filed under the name Anoxybacter fermentans. Its description in RNAcentral is "6S / SsrS RNA". It matches the Rfam family "6S / SsrS RNA". Rfam says of the family: E. coli 6S RNA was the first non coding RNA to be sequenced, but its function was unknown until recently. It consists of 184 nucleotides that fold into an extended hairpin structure with a large single-stranded internal bulge. The 6S RNA specifically associates with RNA polymerase holoenzyme containing the sigma70 specificity factor. Lineage: Bacteria; Bacillati; Bacillota; Clostridia; Halanaerobiales. The record is from Rfam by way of RNAcentral.
UUAAUUCUGCUAUGCCCGUGAUGGAAAUUAUUAUUUUUGACCAACACCAAUGUGAAAGGGAUCCUGGACUUCAACUGCGGCGUAGAAGCCUCCUUUGAGAGGACCUACAAACCAGUUGAGAGGGAACCCACUUGGAGGAGAGGGAUCAAAAAUAAAGUUCCACACGGCAUAGCGGAUAUUAU